UAGGUUUAGAGAGGCGAACCUGGGGAACUGAAACAUCUAAGUACCCAGAGGAAAAGAAAUCAACCGAGAUUCCCUUAGUAGCGGCGAGCGAACGGGGACCAGCCCUUAAGCUGUUUAAGCCUUAAUAGAACGCUCUGGAAAGUGCGGCCAUAGUGGGUGAUAGCCCCGUAUAUGAAAAGUCUUUUACAGUGAAAUCGAGUAGGACGGGACACGUGUUAUCCUGUCUGAACAUGGGGGGACCAUCCUCCAAGGCUAAAUACUCCUGACUGACCGAUAGUGAACCAGUACCGUGAGGGAAAGGCGAAAAGAACCCCUGUGAGGGGAGUGAAAUAGACCCUGAAACCGUGUACGUACAAGCAGUGGGAGCCGACUUUGUUCGGUGACUGCGUACCUUUUGUAUAAUGGGUCAACGACUUACUUUCAGUAGCAAGCUUAACCAGUAGGGGAGGCGUAGGGAAACCGAGUCUUAAUAGGGCGCAUAGUUGCUGGGAGUAGACCCGAAACCGGGCGAUCUAUCCAUGGGCAGGUUGAAGGUUGAGUAACAUCAACUGGAGGACCGAACCGACUACCGUUGAAAAGUUAGCGGAUGACCUGUGGAUCGGAGUGAAAGGCUAAUCAAGCUCGGAGAUAGCUGGUUCUCCUCGAAAGCUAUUUAGGUAGCGCCUCAUGUCUCACCUUGGGGGGUAGAGCACUGUUUCGGCUAGGG
This 706-nucleotide ribosomal RNA is filed under the name uncultured bacterium. RNAcentral's name for it is "bacterial LSU rRNA". It matches the Rfam family "Bacterial large subunit ribosomal RNA", at positions 167 to 924 of the family's 2925-position model. The record is from RNAcentral.